Molecule: non-coding RNA, 519 nt
Organism: Myxocyprinus asiaticus (Chinese sucker)
Lineage: Eukaryota; Metazoa; Chordata; Actinopteri; Cypriniformes; Catostomidae
Source: the annotation of a RefSeq genome assembly
UGCAAAUAUUCCACCCCCUCUCCUGAGUUUGAGAGUUCUGUGAAUAUAAACAGGUUGCUCAAGCUCAGCUCAUCUCAAACCAUGUUUUGCUCAUAUCUGUUUUUGCUGCUGCUAGCAGCACUAUCUUGUGUCCACUGUGUUGAACUGACACAGCCUGCUUCCAGUGUUUUAAGGCCUGGUCAGGCUUUAACACUGUCCUGUAAAGUUUCUGGAUAUUUAGUGACUGACAGCAGCUACUGUACUGGAUUCAUACGACAGGCUGCAGGAAAAGCUCUGGAGUGGAUCGGACAUAUUUGUGGUAGCGGUAGCACAUACUAUAGUGAUAAACUGAAGAGUAGAUUUCAAGUUACCAGAGACUCUUCCAGCAGCACAGUGACUUUACAAGGACAGAAUAUGCAGACCGAGGACACAGCUGUGUAUUACUGUGCACGAGAAUACACAGUGAUAGAAACCACAAGCACUUCUGUUCAAAAACAUCUUGAAAGAAAAGCACAACAGAAAAAUACAUGUUGUAUCUAA